This 255-nucleotide ribosomal RNA is filed under the name uncultured Pseudomonas sp. Its description in RNAcentral is "partial 16S ribosomal RNA". It matches the Rfam family "Bacterial small subunit ribosomal RNA", at positions 1127 to 1382 of the family's 1533-position model. Lineage: Bacteria; Pseudomonadati; Pseudomonadota; Gammaproteobacteria; Pseudomonadales; Pseudomonadaceae. The record is from RNAcentral.
AAUGGUGGGAACUCUAAGGAGACUGCCGGUGACAAACCGGAGGAAGUGGGGAUGACGUCAAGUCAUCAUGGCCCUUACGGCCAGGGCUACACACGUGCUACAAUGGUCGGUACAAAGGGUUGCCAAGCCGCGAGGUGGAGCUAAUCCCAUAAAACCGAUCGUAGUCCGGAUCGCAGUCUGCAACUCGACUGCGUGAAGUCGGAAUCGCUAGUAAUCGUGAAUCAGAAUGUCACGGUGAAUACGUUCCCGGGCCUU